AGGUACUGGCGGACACUCCGGUUCUUCCGCGACCACCUGACGACUGCUCGCUACGUUUGUUAGCC
Molecule: small RNA, 65 nt
Filed under: Xanthomonas campestris
Lineage: Bacteria; Pseudomonadati; Pseudomonadota; Gammaproteobacteria; Lysobacterales; Lysobacteraceae
Description: sX9 sRNA
Rfam family: Xanthomonas sRNA sX9
Source: RNAcentral